GCCUCAGCUUCCCCACAGGUAAAAUGGGCGGGUAAAAUGGGCGGCAGGACACAGCACUGGGCCUCAGCUUCUCCGCGGGUAAAAUGGGCGGCAGGACACAGCACUGGGCCUCAGCUUCUCCGCGGGUAAAAUGGGCGGCAGGACACAGCACUGGGCCUCAGCUUCCCCACGGAUAACAUAGGCGGCAGGAUACGGCGCCGGGCCUCAGCUUCCCCACAGAUGAGGAAACUGCUUAGGUAAUCAAAGGGACCAAAGAAAAGUCACACAUCAAGUAGGGAACAGAACGGAGCUGAAACAACACAACCUCUGACCGCUCUCACUCAGUCGCUCAGACUAAAGUGCUGUGGCGCCAUGCCAUCUCAGCUCACUGCAACCUCCACCUCCAGGACUCAAGUGAUCUUCCCACCUCAGCCUCCUGAGUAGCUGCGACUACAGGACAUGUGAAAAGCCAAAAAUAAGUCUCAGUGAAGAUUUCAAUACAUGGAAAUUCAUAUCUUUUUUAUUGGAUAAGAAGACUCAAUGCAAUAAAGACAUACAUUUUUUCCUGAAUUAGUCUGUACAUUCAGUAUGAUCUCAAUGUGGGAUAUAUUUUACCUUGGACAAAAAGAGUGAUUCUAAAGUUUAUCCAGAAGAAUAAACAUCUUACAACCACCAGAAAAACUCUGAAAAAGAGUGGCAUUGAGAAACUUGUCUUGCUGAGUAUUAAAAAUGUAUAAGAUGAUGACAGUUCAGUAAAGCAGUGUGGUUUGAAAAAGGAAUCAAAAGAUAGCUCAAAGAGAUGAACUGAGAUUAUAGGAAGGGACACAAGUAUGCAGAUAUUUUAGAACGUAAUAUAGUGGUCAUUUCUAAUAAGGGAGAAUAUGGAAAUGGAACAGCUGAAUCACCAUUUGGGAAACAUAAAACUGGAAGCCAGCCCAUUUCUUACCGCAAAGUAAAUUCCUGAAAGAACAAAGGGUUACAUGAAAAGAAAAAAAAAUGCUAAGAGCAAAUAUGGGAGAAUAUUUAUGUAAUCAUAAGUUGGGGUUGCUUGACCAUUCUAAACAUAGGAGGAUCAGAAAACACAAAAUAAGACAUAAAUUUAACAACAUACACAUUUACAACAUCUCUGAAUGGCUUUAACCUUGAUAAGCAAAACUAAAGACAACAACAGUUCCAUAAUUCUGAUCACAAAAGCUAAUAUUCACCAUAUACAAAGUGCUCUAACAAAUCAAUAAGAAAAGUUAACAUAUGAAGAGGAACAUUGAUGAAGGAUAGGAACAGAUGUUUCAUAAAAGAAUACAUGCAAAAGGCUAAUAGGCACGUUCAAGGUCAUUAUCAAUCAAAUAAAAAUUAAAUAUCAUUUUUUACCUAUCAGAUUGAACAAGAAUUAAAAUGUAGUUGGAAACCAGUCAUAGUAAGCAUUUAGGAAAAUGGGCAUUUUCACGCAGUCUUGGAGGGAAAGUAAAGUGAGCAUCAUUUCCAGAAGGUAGUUUGACAUUAUUGUAUAAAAAUGUAAAAUGUUCAUGCCUUUGAACCCAGCAAUACAAUUUGGGGAAUUUAUUCUAAGGAGAUCAUUUCAGAAGUGGGAAAAAUGCAUGCCUGAGAAAACUUUCUAUUCCCACCAGUGAGUGACUAAGAAAAAUGCAGUAUGUGCUUGAAUAAGUGCUCUGCAGAAAUUAAACACGAUGGUGAAAUAUACUGAUUGAUUGGUAAUAUUACCUUUGACAUUUUCAUUAAGCAAAAAAGGCAGGUGCCAGCAUAUAAUGUGAUGUCAAUUACAUAAAAUUAUACACAUGUAUCUUUAUUUGUAUGUAUAUAUGUCAAAGGAUUUUUCACUCUAGCUCUUUCCUAAAACCAUCGUAGCCCCCAAAGUUUGCAUGGUUCAUUCUAUCUCAUUGUCGAGAAGAUUGUCUCAAAAUAGACAACAACUGGAGCUCUUUUAGCACAUGGUAGUCAUUAUCAGCAUCUGAAAGUACCUGUGUGUUUCUUCAUUUUCUCAAUGACUGCUGUGCAGCCUCUCCCAUGAGAAGCGACACCAUGGAGGUCAGGGCUGGCUGGUCCACCUGCAGAGCCUAGCACGGACCUGGCCCAAAGUCCCUGCUUGGUAAAUACCUGCUGGAUGAAUGCACAGUGUUGUGAGACCAGUGUUUUUCACAGCACACUCUCUAGAAGAAAUGCCAACCUGUGUUAUGGACUAAGGUGUCCCACGGGCAAGUAGGUUUUGGAAACAUGGCAUCGGAUCAAGCCAAUCCAAGGGUUUAUUUGGUGCAGAACUUUUCAGAGCCUUUAAUACCCAAAUGCACAUUGUGACUGUCCAAGAGUUUCCCAGCUCUCUUGACUGCAGAAGUCCCUCUAUCUUCAGCCCCUUGGAGCGUCUUGUGUCAUGGGACAGUGUGGGAUGGACUAUGUUCAGAAGAAUAUUCAGCAAUGCAUUAAAUUGGGGGCCGAGAUUAGAGCUGAUCUCCAAUUUGUCAUUGUACUGUCUGUGUUGUUUGAAGUGUUGACACUGAGUGAGCACAUAUCAUUUCAUAAAUAUAUCAGUUUUUCAAGAUAAAAGAAUAAACAUUAAAAAUGCA
Pan troglodytes (chimpanzee) is the source of this 2555-nucleotide long non-coding RNA. RefSeq lists it as uncharacterized. The record is from RefSeq and is a predicted model, not a curated record. The transcript has 4 exons. Lineage: Eukaryota; Metazoa; Chordata; Mammalia; Primates; Hominidae.